UACGGAGGGUGCGAGCGUUGUCCGGAAUCACUGGGCGUAAAGGGCGCGUAGGUGGCGACCCAAGUCAACGGUGAAAGCUCGGCGCUCAACGCCGAGUCGGCCGUCGAUACUGGGAUGCUUGAGCACUGUAGAGGCAGAUGGAAUUCCGGGUGUAGCGGUGGAAUGCGUAGAGAUCCGGAAGAACACCGGUGGCGAAGGCGACACGCUGGGCCGUACCUGACACUGAUGCGCGACAGCAUGGGGAGCAAACAGG
RNAcentral lists this ribosomal RNA (253 nucleotides) under uncultured bacterium. RNAcentral's name for it is "partial 16S ribosomal RNA". It matches the Rfam family "Bacterial small subunit ribosomal RNA", at positions 524 to 776 of the family's 1533-position model. The record is from RNAcentral.